GCCGGAAUAGCUCAGUGGGUAGA
This 23-nucleotide transfer RNA is filed under the name Tetrastichium virens. RNAcentral's name for it is "partial tRNA-Phe". The record is from RNAcentral. Lineage: Eukaryota; Viridiplantae; Streptophyta; Bryopsida; Hookeriales; Leucomiaceae.